CAUGGUAGAAAGGAAAAUUGCUAUUGUGCUUUCAACUUGUGUAAUUAACUUCUCUUUAGGGAAGCAGAGCAAGAUAAGAAAAUAGUUUGACCUCAGCAGAACUUAGGCACAGGAACAUAUGUCUCACUAGUCAGCACUACCCCCAAACACAAAUAUUUCAAGGUGGGGCAAGCAGGGCAAUAGCAACUGAACUGUGCCAUUCUGUCCUCCUCUGCUUGAGAGAGGCAGUGUAUUUAUUGAAGGAAAUGGCUCUGCUGAACUAGUGCUGGUGCUGUUCCAAGCCCAUUGGUGAUUACCUUUUCCAUGGGGAUUGAAAUGAAUGCAUUAUAUUUUAAAAUAAGCUUAUUAACUGCUGCUGCUAUUCAGAAUUUCUGUCUGUUAGUUGUUUGUUCAGCUGGACAUACAGCUUCUGUCUUAACUGCACAGAGAGGCACUAGAUCAGGUUUAAGUUGGCUUAGGUUCUCCUCCCGUUUUUCCCCCUCAUAUUAGUGAGCUUAUUUUCUUUCUAAUCUUCAACUCUGUAGUGCAUAAAGGAUGUCUAUAAAUACUAACCCUAAAUAUAAAAUGAAUCGACAUUUAUUCUGCAUGACUGGGAAAGAAAUAAUGUAUUAAUUACUGAGAUCCAGGAAUUGCUUCUAAAUUUCUGACUAUUUAACCCAGACCUCAAAAAGCUGCUGGGCUAGAGCCAGCUGGUGUGUAUUUGGAGAGGAGAGGGAGCAGCAGGGAGGAAAAGAUCAAAAAGAGGAAGUCAUCUACAGGGUCAAAAUCAUCCAGGUUGGAUCUGGAAUCUGAUUCAAAUCUAACUUUCCUCAAACCAUGAGGGAAAUGACCUAAGACUGCAUUUCAAGUGAACAGGCUUGGACUUCUAAAGUGAACUGAUUUAUGAAGAGACUGGAUAGUUGUGAAAGCUGAAUUGCACCUGCACUGCAGGUGUAGAGGAUUUUGGCCAGAGUUGCAGUUCUUGGAGACCACGGUCAUUACUGAAGGUCCUGGGCACACAUUUCUGUUGGAAUGCAACUGAUGUCAUGGAAAAACAGGACCUUCCUGGUAACUCUUAACAACCAGAAGUAUAGUAAACAGUAAAUGUUACCUCCAUCAAGAUACUGGACUUUAAAGAGACUUAAUGGGAUGGUGUCCAUGUGCCAAGAAACAUAAACUUUUACUGAUUUAACUACAGUUUUCGUAAAAGCACUAGCCUGCUGCUGAGGUUUAGCUAUGAUUUUGAUAUGCCUAAUAAAACUAGAAAUAGUUCUGUUUAAAUCUUCAAAUAGCCUGAAUUUACUGUUCUUUCCAUCGCCUAACAGUUUUACGGUCUUUCACAUUAGAAAUCAGUAAUGGUAUGUUAGUUACAAGGGAAAUAGCACUGUAAUUUUCAUGAUUUGCAAAACACCGUUUCUUUCCAAGGUGUAUUUUUCCUCUAAUUAAAUGAAUGAACUGAUUUUUUUUCAUACAGAGCUGUGUAGAAGUGUAGAACCGUUCAACUCCAUUUUUUGUUUUUAAAAAGUUUGUUCUCAGCUUAAAACUGUUUUGCUCCUGUAGUGUUACUCAUGACUUAUGGGACAAUUUAGGAGUUUGCCAUCUGAGGAGCAUUCAUUUAUUUACAAGAUUUGUAUUGUUUACUUUUUUUAUCUGUUGAUUGAAAACCACACUGCUUUGACCUUGCAGUAUAAAGCUUUACUUUUCUUUUUAAACAGACACAAAGGAGUGGAGAAAGUUGAAUAGCCCAAAUCAUACCAACACGUUGUCUUUUUGAGAGCACCAGUGUAGCUCUUAGUACACUUUUUAACGACCAAAUUGACUACGAGAUACUGUAUGCACAUCUGGUACCUUUUGGUUUAAAUCUUGAGAUUGUUUUCAGUUCUUUUGUGGUUCUAGAGGGGACAUACAUUAAGUAUUGUCACUUAACGAUACUUUUGGAGGACAGAACUAAUGUUUUUUUAUUGGCUUCAAGCCAUGCUUUCCUUGCACUUAGAUGAGGACCUGAAACAACUUCCUGUAGUAUAACAGUGCUGUAGGACCAGUUUUGCACUUGAUUUGCAUUGGACUUGGUAUUCCUUAAGAUAACUGCAAACAGGACUCUAAAUAUAGGAACAGGAGGCUUAAAAAUAAAUAAAAUUGUAGGGAAACAUUUGGGAAAUAUCCAGCCACUGUACAUAGGGUUUGAUCACGUCUCAGGACAGUAUGAGAAAUGAAGGUUUUCUUCUCUGGUUUUCUGAGUUUCUUGAUUUCCACUUGAGUGUCCAGCUCUUUUUUGAGAAAGGGUGUCAUAGUGCAUUCACUGAUAUCUUAAUGAUCAGCUUCGUGAGUCAGCUUAUGUUUGCCAACAUUUAUCUAGUGAGAUCAGAGCUGCUGUCUGUGAUAAGGCCAAAAUACUGCUGAUUCAGUGAUCUGGUACCUUGAGUCUUCCCACCAUCCUAGAAGAAAAUGUUCUGUGAUCCACUGCAAAUCUCUGUGCCUCCUCUUUUUAUUAGAAUUAGGUUAUCUGAUUCUAGUUGUGACAACAUAAAUGUCUAUUUCUAGUUGUUGUGUCUAACAAGAACAUUAGUAAUCCAUUCUGUAACCUUUUUUUUUUUGUCACUGCUGUGUACUCCAAUAGCUUGUAAGUCAUAGCAACGUAGUGCAUCCCGCUUAACCCGCUGGAGUUUAAAGCACAACAAUUUUUGAAAUUAAGAGAAAACUGACAUUUUGGGGUAGAAGAAGGAGAAUGAUGAAGCCAUUUCUGGUAGAUUUAUUUGUUUUAAAACAGUAGCUGUUCAAGUUGUUUAAAAGUUAGAAAUAUUAGAACUAGACCUAACAUUAUUGAGCAAUCUAUGAGCAGAACAGUGAAAUUAUAUAAAUAAAUAGGAAAAAAAAGCCAUUUCUUCCAUAGAAUCUUCUAGAGUCCAAACUACGUGGACCUCCCUUACUUGUGUAGGCCUGUGUCACAUUCAGUUCUGAACAGAGACAAAAGUUGUAUAUUUUAUGACCUAGAAAAGACAGAGAGAAAUAUAUUUUAGAUCUUCUGAUCAUCUGAACAGCAUUCUUCUUUUAAAUCACUGGGAGAAGGAGAACAGAGAAAUCCAGGAAGAAGCUUAAGAAUCAGCUGGGCUUUCCAAAGGUGGCUUCAAUGCUAGCAGUCAGCACUGUGGGUCUCUCUUUAUUUAACCUCUGAUAGGCAAGGCCUGCAAUUUCACUUUUUACUUAAGAGUUUUUUUUUUUCUGAAGUUCAGGUGCUUUCUGGGCAGUCUGUGGAACUUGUUGGUUAUUGUAUCCUUACAAUUGCAUUUGCUUAAAUACCUGGAAAGGGCUGUGUUCACAGCAUUGAAAUCGAUUAUCACUGGCUAGAAAAACUUUGGAGCCUCCCAAAAGACUCUUAAUUUAGAUUAGGAAUUGUACUGAAUGCUAUUCUCUUUUUUUUUUUUAGUGGUGUUAUUGAAAACUGCUGCUGAUCU
Long non-coding RNA from Numida meleagris (helmeted guineafowl), 3431 nucleotides. RefSeq lists it as uncharacterized. The record is from RefSeq and is a predicted model, not a curated record. The transcript has 3 exons. NCBI's taxonomy places the organism in Eukaryota, Metazoa, Chordata, Aves, Galliformes, Numididae.